Molecule: transfer RNA, 90 nt
Filed under: bacterium BMS3Abin12
Lineage: Bacteria
Description: tRNA-Ala
Source: RNAcentral
CAUCGGCGAGCGCCGGGUCGGUGACCGCGGCGUCGCGCGCCGCGAGCGCCUGUGGGCCGGGCGCCCAGGCGCUCAGGCGCUUGCCGUCGA